AGCGCUCUCUGCCCAGCUCCCUCGCACACCGCACUGAUGCUGGAGCCAGAAUAUGAAGUCAUUUUACUGCUCCGGCAUCAGUAAGCGGCGUGCGAGGGAGCUGGGCAGAGAGCGCU
Molecule: non-coding RNA, 116 nt
Organism: Pelobates cultripes (western spadefoot toad)
Lineage: Eukaryota; Metazoa; Chordata; Amphibia; Anura; Pelobatidae
Source: the annotation of a GenBank genome assembly